RNAcentral lists this ribosomal RNA (410 nucleotides) under uncultured Methylomirabilota bacterium. RNAcentral describes it as "bacterial SSU rRNA". It matches the Rfam family "Bacterial small subunit ribosomal RNA", at positions 1025 to 1434 of the family's 1533-position model. The record is from RNAcentral. Lineage: Bacteria; Methylomirabilota (SeqCode).
AGCGUGGAGACAGGUGGUGCAUGGCUGUCGUCAGCUCGUGUCGUGAGAUGUUGGGUUAAGUCCCGCAACGAGCGCAACCCUCACCCCUUGUUGCUACCAGGUAAAGCUGGGCACUCCAGGGGAACUGCCCCGGUCAACGGGGAGGAAGGCGGGGAUGACGUCAAGUCAUCAUGCCCCUUACGUCCUGGGCUACACACGUGCUACAAUGGCCGGUACAAAGGGAUGCCACACCGCGAGGUAGAGCUAAACCCAAAAAGCCGGUCUAAGUUCAGAUUGGAGUCUGCAACUCGACUCCAUGAAGGAGGAAUCGCUAGUAAUCGCGUAUCAGCACGACGCGGUGAAUACGUUCCCGGGCCUUGUACACACCGCCCGUCACACCACGAAAGCCAGCUGUACUCGAAGUCGCUGAG